This 596-nucleotide ribosomal RNA is filed under the name Moesziomyces antarcticus. RNAcentral's name for it is "partial large subunit ribosomal RNA". It matches the Rfam family "Eukaryotic large subunit ribosomal RNA", at positions 81 to 658 of the family's 3401-position model. Lineage: Eukaryota; Fungi; Basidiomycota; Ustilaginomycetes; Ustilaginales; Ustilaginaceae. The record is from RNAcentral.
AGGUAACGGCGAGUGAAGAGGGAAGAGCCCAAGAUUGAAAGCUGGCGUCUUCGGCGUCCGCAUUGUAAUCUCAAGAAGUGUUUUCCGCUUCGGACCAAGCCUAAGUCCCCUGGAAAGGGGCAUCAUAGAGGGUGAUAAUCCCGUACAUGGCUUGGAGCGCCCGAGGCUUUGUGAUACGCUUUCUAAGAGUCGAGUUGUUUGGGAAUGCAGCUCAAAAUGGGUGGUAAAUGCCAUCUAAGGCUAAAUAUUGGGGAGAGACCGAUAGCGAACAAGUACAGUGAUGGAAAGAUGAAAAGAACUUUGAAAAGAGAGUUAAACAGUACGUGAAAUUGCCAAAAGGGAAGGGUAGGAGGUCAGAGAUGCGGCCUGGGAUUCAGCCUUGCUUUUGCUUGGUGUUUUUCCCAGAUUGCAGGCCAACGUCGGUUUUGGGCACUGGAGAAGGGUAGGAGGAACGUGGCACCUCUCGGGGUGUGUUAUAGCCUCCUACUGGAUACAGCGACCGAGACCGAGGACAGCAGCGUACUCGCAAGAGCGGGCCUUCGGGCACCUUUACGCUUAGGGCGUUGGCAUAAUGGCCCUCUACCACCCGUCUUGAA